This 501-nucleotide ribosomal RNA is filed under the name uncultured bacterium. RNAcentral's name for it is "bacterial SSU rRNA". It matches the Rfam family "Bacterial small subunit ribosomal RNA", at positions 28 to 512 of the family's 1533-position model. The record is from RNAcentral.
GACGAACGCUGGCGGCGUGCCUAAUACAUGCAAGUCGAGCGGACCAAAGGGAGCUUGCUCCUGGAGGUUAGCGGCGAACGGGUGAGUAACACGUGGGCAACCUGCCUGUAAGACUGGGAUAACAUCGAGAAAUCGGUGCUAAUACCGGAUAAUAAAAAGAACUGCAUGGUUCUUUUUUGAAAGAUGGUUUCGGCUAUCACUUACAGAUGGGCCCGCGGCGCAUUAGCUAGUUGGUGAGGUAACGGCUCACCAAGGCGACGAUGCGUAGCCGACCUGAGAGGGUGAUCGGCCACACUGGGACUGAGACACGGCCCAGACUCCUACGGGAGGCAGCAGUAGGGAAUCUUCCGCAAUGGACGAAAGUCUGACAGAGCAACGCCGCGUGAGUGAUGAAGGUUUUCGGAUCGUAAAACUCUGUUGUUAGGGAAGAACAAGUGCCGUUCGAAAGGGCGGCACCUUGACGGUACCUAACGAGAAAGCCACGGCUAACUACGUGCCAGC